RNAcentral lists this non-coding RNA (28 nucleotides) under Homo sapiens (human). Lineage: Eukaryota; Metazoa; Chordata; Mammalia; Primates; Hominidae. The record is from RNAcentral.
UAAUCACCAAAACAAUGGGAAAAAUGUC